RNAcentral lists this transfer RNA (68 nucleotides) under Paulhutchinsonia pilosicollis. Its description in RNAcentral is "tRNA-Pro". Lineage: Eukaryota; Metazoa; Arthropoda; Insecta; Coleoptera; Cerambycidae. The record is from RNAcentral.
CAAGGAAUAGUUUAUUGAGAAUAUUAAUUUUGGAGAUUAGAGAUGGGCUGGUGUUAGUUCUUCCUUGA